Molecule: ribosomal RNA, 522 nt
Filed under: uncultured Glomeromycotina
Lineage: Eukaryota; Fungi; Glomeromycota
Description: bacterial SSU rRNA
Rfam family: Eukaryotic small subunit ribosomal RNA
Source: RNAcentral
AGCAGCCGCGGUAAUUCCAGCUCCAAUAGCGUAUAUUAAAGUUGUUGCAGUUAAAAAGCUCGUAGUUGAACUUCAGGCCUGUCCAGACGGUCCGCCUUAAUUGGUGUGUACUGUCCUUGGGUGGGUCCUACCUUCUGGCGAAGCGGCAUGGCCUUAAUUGGCUGUGUCGGGGAACCAGGACUUUUACUGUGAAAAAAUUAGAGUGUUCAAAGCAGGCAAAUAUGCUCGAAUACAUUAGCAUGGAAUAAUGGAAUAGGAUGAUGGUUCUAUUUUGUUGGUUCUAGGACUGUUGUAAUGAUUAAUAGGGAUAGUUGGGGGCAUUAGUAUUCAAUUGUCAGAGGUGAAAUUCUUGGAUUUAUUGAAGACUAACUACUGCGAAAGCAUUUGCCAAGGAUGUUUUCAUUAAUCAAGAACGAAAGUUAGGGGAUCGAAGACGAUCAGAUACCGUCGUAGUCUUAGCCAUAAACUAUGCCGACUAGGAAUCGGGCGAUGUUGACAAAAUGACUCGCUCGGCACCUCAUG